This 420-nucleotide unclassified non-coding RNA is filed under the name Hevea brasiliensis (rubber tree). Lineage: Eukaryota; Viridiplantae; Streptophyta; Magnoliopsida; Malpighiales; Euphorbiaceae. The record is from RNAcentral.
AGGGAAUCAGGUAACUCCCCUAAGGAAGUAAGAGAUGGACAGUAGUCCACUGAUAAAAACUCAAGAAUAAAUGUGUUUUUGCUACAGCCAACAUUCAUCUCAUCCUUUGGUCUCUUUGAAGAGGAAAGAGAAGAACAAUAUCCCGCACCCAGCAAAUUCUGCAAACUCUUGCAAGAUAUGAUCUGCAGUCUUUUUAGGGUUGGAGGUAGUUGGCCUCUUCCAAGGGAGACCAAAGAAUCACAGCUUUCAAUUUCCAAGUGUUCAAGAAACUUGCUGUCAAUCACCGCAUCUGGUAAAGAAGUUAUAGCAUUGCAGUUACUAAUCCCAAUCACUCUCAACAUGGAAGGAAAACCAGCUUUUGGAAAAGAAACAAUUCUUGGGCUGUCCUCAAUUAUAAGCUCCCUAAGGGACACAAGGUUA